This 52-nucleotide transfer RNA is filed under the name Mansonella sp. RNAcentral describes it as "tRNA-Ser". The record is from RNAcentral. Lineage: Eukaryota; Metazoa; Nematoda; Chromadorea; Rhabditida; Onchocercidae.
GGAUAAGUUUUUUUAGUCUUCUAAACUAUUGAUGAGGUUGUCUCACUUAUUU